Molecule: ribosomal RNA, 417 nt
Filed under: uncultured bacterium
Lineage: Bacteria
Description: bacterial SSU rRNA
Rfam family: Bacterial small subunit ribosomal RNA
Source: RNAcentral
AACGAACGCUGGCGGCAGGCCUAACACAUGCAAGUCGAACGCUCUAGCAAUAGAGAGUGGCGCACGGGUGCGUAACGCGUGGGAAUAUGCCCUUGACUACGGAACAACAUCGGGAAACUGAUGCUAUUACCGUAUAAUGUCUUCGGACCAAAGAUUUAUCGGUCAAGGAUUAGCCCGCGUCUGAUUAGCUAGUUGGUGAGGUAAUGGCUCACCAAGGCGACGAUCAGUAGCUGGUCUGAGAGGAUGAUCAGCCACACUGGGACUGAGACACGGCCCAGACUCCUACGGGAGGCAGCAGUGAGGAAUAUUGGACAAUGGGCGCAAGCCUGAUCCAGCCAUGCCGCGUGAGUGAUGAAGGCCUUCGGGUUGUAACGCUCUUUCUAGAUGCGAAGAUAAUGACGGUAACAUCAGAAGAAG